This 436-nucleotide ribosomal RNA is filed under the name uncultured bacterium. Its description in RNAcentral is "partial 16S ribosomal RNA". It matches the Rfam family "Bacterial small subunit ribosomal RNA", at positions 29 to 507 of the family's 1533-position model. The record is from RNAcentral.
AACGAACGCUGGCGGCAUGCCUAACACAUGCAAGUCGAGCGAGAUCCCUCGGGGUGUAGUCGCGCACGGGUGCGGAACGCGGGGGAAUCUGCCCUUAGGUUCGGAAUAACAGUUAGAAAUGUCUACUAAUUCCGGAUGAUGUCGUAAAGUCCAAAGAUUUAUCGCCUGAGGAUGAGCCCGCCUGGGAUUAGCUAGUUGGUGUGGUAAAGGCGCACCAAGGCGACGAUCCUUAGCUGGUCUGUGAGGAUGAACAGCCACACUGGGACUGAGACACGGCCCAGACUCCUACGGGAGGCAGCAGUGGGGAAUAUUGGACAAUGGGGGCAAGCCUGAUCCAGCCAGGCCGCGUGAGUGAUGAAGGCCUUAGGGUUGUAAAGCUCUUUUAUCCGGGACGAUAAUGACGGUACCGGGAGAAUAAGCCCCGGCUAACUUCGUG